GAACUGGCACUUAAGAGGAAUAAGUGGUGGAGAAAAGAGAAGGGUUAGCAUUGCCUUGGAGAUCUUGAUGAGGCCUAGAUUGCUCUUCCUUGAUGAACCUACAAGUGGACUUGACAGGUACUAAGGAGACUAUUGGACUUUGGCAAGAAACUUCCUAUUCCUGAUGCUCUUCUCAUCAAUGGGCAAAGAGAUUCUGCUGUCUUUAUCAGUCAAGCAGGGAAGACUUACAAAUUCAGAGUGUCCAAUGUUAGGUUAAGAACAUCAAUCAACUUCAGGAUUCAAGGCCACUCAUUGAAACUUAUUGAAGUUGAAGGUGCUCACACAUUACAGGACACAUAUGAGUCCCUUGAUAUUCAUGUGGGUCAAUCAGUGGUAUAGUUGAACAAUACAAUUUGAGUUUAUAUUUUGAAUUAUAGUUGAUGUAUCAACACACUUUGAUGUAUGGUUGUUACUUAUUAUUAUAGUUGAUGUUUCAAUACACUUUGUUUAUAUUUUGAAUUAUAUUGACUUCUUAUUUAUAGUACUUUUCUUUUAGUUUGAUAAUACGAUGAAUUUGUUUAUUUUUUGAAA
Molecule: non-coding RNA, 570 nt
Organism: Arachis ipaensis
Lineage: Eukaryota; Viridiplantae; Streptophyta; Magnoliopsida; Fabales; Fabaceae
Source: RefSeq, a predicted model, not a curated record